AGCGAACGCUGGCGGCAGGCCUAACACAUGCAAGUCGAACGGACCUUUCGGGGUUAGUGGCGGACGGGUGAGUAACACGUGGGAACGUGCCUUUAGGUUCGGAAUAGCUCCUGGAAACGGGUGGUAAUGCCGAAUGUGCCCUUCGGGGGAAAGAUUUAUCGCCUUUAGAGCGGCCCGCGUCUGAUUAGCUAGUUGGUUGAGGUAACGGCUCACCAAGGCGACGAUCAGUAGCUGGUCUGAGAGGAUGGCCAGCCACAUUGGGACUGAGACACGGCCCAAACUCCUACGGGAGGCAGCAGUGGGGAAUCUUGCGCAAUGGGCGAAAGCCUGACGCAGCCAUGCGGCGUGAAUGAUGAAGGUCUUAGGAUUGUAAAAUUCUUUCACCGGGGACGAUAAUGACGGUACCCGGAGAAGAAGCCCCGGCUAACUACGUG
RNAcentral lists this ribosomal RNA (434 nucleotides) under uncultured bacterium. Its description in RNAcentral is "partial 16S ribosomal RNA". It matches the Rfam family "Bacterial small subunit ribosomal RNA", at positions 29 to 507 of the family's 1533-position model. The record is from RNAcentral.